CAGUGUCCUGGAUUGGUCGGUCCUAUGGGUUUUACGUUUGACGUAAAUGCCGCUUUUUCUUCUGCCGCCCCUAUUCACUAGUCGGUUUGGUUAUGGUGGCUCGGCCAUGUCGGUUACGUCGCUAACGCGUGCCAUCAUUUGCCCCUUCACCCGAGACCUGUCCUGUCCCCAAAGCAGCAUCAGCAUUCAUGUAAUAGGCAGGCAGGGUCAGUGUCACACAGACGGUAGCACCAGCACCAACGAUGUCGUUUCCACCGCCGACUACCACGAAUUCACAGCCACUACCACAAGCCAAGCAAACGCACAAGUCUUUUUCCUCACAGGGCGCAUGCGCGACUCCUCCCCUUACCAGGCCGGUCCUUUGGCGCGGCAGUUGCCGCCGCUGCAACUUAAGAACAGCAAUAAAAGCAGAAGCGGUAGGUUAGUACGUCAGUAUCCCUCAGGAACAAGCACAGGUCGAAAAACAUUUCUACAAAAAAAAAAAAAAAAAAGCUGAAUCCAAAGUUUAACGCCAGAAGAACAGGCAAGGGCAGUUUGCACGGAGUUCGCCGUCAAGAGAAAGCAGCUAAAAGUACUAGUCCAGUCAAACUUCUCAAUUCCAAACUGUCGCCCUUUCAGUUUAAUCGAGGACUUGAGACGAAGAACGAAGACCUGACAAGAGCGAACAGAUAAGCUCUACGAGCUGUUGUAGGAAAGGAAAAGGACACAGAAAGCAGAGUGAACAAGAGACAAUCGCUCGUCAACCCAAAUAACAUUACGCAAGUAGUAGUUGAAACCUUUCUGUAGACGAAUAACAGGAAGAAAUAGCUGGAAGUAGUCAACAGUCAAUAUGAGUGCCUUAGCAAAGCUGCUUGCCCUUUUCCUUGCCCUUCUGUUAGUAGUAGCGGCUCACGCUGACGGAAUCAAGCGCAUGGACUGCGAUGCCUUUUGCAAGAAGACAGGCUUCCGUUUCAAUGCCGGCGUCUGCAAGUGCGGCUAUAUGCUCUUUGCUAACAAGCGAUCAGUGGCUGAUCGCGAUCCCCGGGCAGAAGUGGCGCCCGAUUCUCAGUAAGUAUGUCCUUACGUAUAUUUACUCGUAUUGGCCAUAGCACAUCAUUUAGCUACACUAAAAUAUCUGAGACGUUAUCUACACCGAAUCUGUUCAAUUCAAGUACGCCAACGUAUGGUCGCUCGUAAGUUAAUUUGAUGAAACGCUGUUGCUGAAAAUCAAGCCUUGUUUUCAGUAGUCACUAUGUUUUAAAAUGAAACUGUAUUAUACGCCAUCGUUGAAUUCGCCCAAACUGAUGCCUUAAGCCGGUUCAUCUGGCCGUGUUCCGGGAUGAGUACCAGCGUUUACCUGUUGAGCUGAACUGGGAAGGACUUGUCUACCCUGCCCUGCCAUUGCCACGUCUAUAUGGUUAAAAAAUGAUCUUCAUCAUCCCCAUCGAAUUUGCGUCCUUCUGGUAAAAUCGUUACCCCCGAAAAUCUCGCCUUAGACGGGUCAUCACGAAUGCCUAGCAACCCUUUUACCACUCCUCGUAACGAGUGCACAAGAAAUGCCAAUUGGCAAGAGACGCAAAACACAAGGCUGAAGAUGCCGACGAGAUGACGUGCAGCCGUGGUGGUUACAUGGAGAACUAGAAUGAAGAACGUUCCGCGCGCGACACGGGAGUGUUGUUCGCGAUCAGGUCGAAAAAAUAACAGGAAUUAGAAGAACAAAGGAUACUAAAUUAGCAGAAUAACAGAAAAACCCCAACGCAAUACGGGAGUACGUCGGGGAAACACAUCUGCGAGAACUCGACGAUUAUACGAGAUAUGCCGUUGAAUCGAGUCAUGGCCUUGUAGCGUUUUCGCCGCGUAUACGUUUGUCCUGAGUUUCAUUUAGACACCCUUCCUCCCUCUUUGUCCACACACACGUACACACAGCUUGUUGAGUUUUUGUUGAGAAGCGCUGACGAUAAACAAUCGCCUGCCGGUGCUUUGUUAUUAUGCAGUACGCGCAAAGAGGAAGAUAACCACUGUGUAGCUCCCAACAAAAACGACCAUAGCUACUGUUCUAUUCCUAUAAGACUGAAUAGUGUGCGAAAUUCAUGGCUGUGACACGCUGUAUCGUUCAUACGUUCGUUUUGAAAUUAAAUUAAGAUACGCGAACAACAUCCACGAUUUAACUGACCACGAUUUUGCUGACGAGUGCCACAAAGUUUCAGUCCAAAAGAGAAAGGGUAUCGUGUCGACAUCAUCAGCCUACUUUCGAACAAUAUAAUUUCGAAAAGAAAAGCACGCGAUUGACAUGCGUCUGAUGAGUAGCGCUUGCAGCGCUUUCUUCCUACUACCACUGCGAUGCCUAAAUAUAUACACAAUAUGUUAUUAUCUACAAACCGCAUGAAGCGAGACACGAGGCUGGUAACAAGGAACUCACAAGGCUUAAGCGUAGUGCAUGAAGGCGCCCUGCCCGUCACAAAGGGGCCGUGACAUGAAGUGUAAUUAAGAAGAGGCAGUCCAAAGCAAGAAAUUGGUAAACGACCCCGAGGACGACCAUCCUUAGGUCAGAUGAAUUCCAAAGCAGCCUGAAUCGACUAUGGGAAGUACUCACCAGGACUCAAGCACAAAUACAUAUAGAUGAGAAAAUGAACAAGGACGGAUCCCCAUGUUGGAAAAACAAGAUGAUUUAAUACAUUAGAUAUACAAAUACAAUGAGGAGCCAAACUGUGAACAAAGCUGUCUAUAACGCUUGAAGGUGUCCGGCUUGAAGAUGAGAGACCAGGCCAGGUUUCGUUAAGGCACAUCUGUACAUCGCGAAAAAAUUCUAGCUAGCUACAGCUACAGAAGAAAUUUAUGAAACAAGGACGAGACAAAGUGCGAAAAAGAUAUAUAAUUUCUGAUGACUUAUAUAUACACACAUAUAUAUAUAUAUAUAUAUAUAUAUAUCUCGAAGAGACGAGAGACAUGACCAAUAAUAAGGAUAAUUACAGACACGACAGACUGAAUCUCAAAGGAAAAAUAAAUGUAUUUUCA
Molecule: non-coding RNA, 2994 nt
Organism: Varroa destructor (honeybee mite)
Lineage: Eukaryota; Metazoa; Arthropoda; Arachnida; Mesostigmata; Varroidae
Source: RefSeq, a predicted model, not a curated record